Molecule: long non-coding RNA, 159 nt
Filed under: Dasypus novemcinctus (nine-banded armadillo)
Lineage: Eukaryota; Metazoa; Chordata; Mammalia; Cingulata; Dasypodidae
Description: lncRNA (ENSDNOG00000050668.1)
Source: RNAcentral
AUGAACUGAAGAAUCAGUAAUUUGCCUGCUGGAAAAACAUGAAAAUGUAUAGGAAGUGGGAGAACAUGGAAAAUCAGAGAAUGAAGGAGAAAAAACAGGAAUGGAUGUAAUAAGAAGCCUGUGAGAGAAAUGAAGGAACACAAAUUAAAGGGAAAUGGA